Long non-coding RNA from Papaver somniferum (opium poppy), 925 nucleotides. RefSeq lists it as uncharacterized. The record is from RefSeq and is a predicted model, not a curated record. NCBI's taxonomy places the organism in Eukaryota, Viridiplantae, Streptophyta, Magnoliopsida, Ranunculales, Papaveraceae. The transcript has 3 exons.
UGAUCUUUUUACUUUGCAUUAAUACUCUUUCUUAAAAUACUUAUGUAUCUUCUGUCUCUUCUCUGAUUUGGUAAUGUGGAGUUGAUCCUGAUAAAUGGAAUUGGAUUGGUACGUCCAUCUCUGCUUCUGUUUUUAAGGUUUUCUGGCGUCUUUUCAUAAACUGAUAGGAGUAGCAGGCGUGUUGGCUUGUUCAACUUUCCAAGGAUAAAGAGAUGCAAAGGAGUUAAUGUACCAGACAGGUGGCUUUGAUGGCAGUAUCUCGACUGUAAUCAAAGAAGAGAUCAUCCUUCUCUUCAUCAAGAACUGAUACCAACGCGUCCAUGAAGUCGUUCUCAGCAUUACUGUUGUCUGCUGCUCCGUGUGAUUGUGUCCGCGAUCUCUUUCUUUCUCGAUGCUCUUCAAGCCAUUUUUCAGCAAUCAAGUCCAUCUCUUUAGCUAUCCUCUUCAUGUGUUUCUUUUGCCCAUCUACAUCCAGCCUCCCAAGGAACGGAAGAGCAUCAGAUGCAACGGUAACUCCUGCUAGUCUGAAAUAUUCUGAGAUGGUCUUGUGAAGUUUUCACUCUUCUCUUUCUCUAUUUCAUUGUCAUCCUCAGUGUAGAGAGCCUUUCCUACAACCAACUUUAACACUGUAUUCAAGCUUUCGAUCUCUGAAUUUGUGACAUGCUUGAGCAGCUCGAGACGCCUAUGGGAGAGUAAUUGGAGAGUAGAGAUCUUACGCAUCUCACGCCAGUAAGGACCAUAAAAGGCGAAACCAACCAUGGCGAAGCCGUAACCGAGGUACUUUCCAGAAGCAGUAGGUGGACGACUUGCAAGAAACUUGUCGUUGACAGUGAAGCAUUCUUUAGACAUCUCCCAACUACUCACAACUAGCGUUGGAUACAUCCCGAACCGGACCAUGAAAAUACUUCCAUACUUGUCAGCCAUG